Molecule: transfer RNA, 72 nt
Filed under: Pangasianodon gigas (Mekong giant catfish)
Lineage: Eukaryota; Metazoa; Chordata; Actinopteri; Siluriformes; Pangasiidae
Description: tRNA-Glu
Source: RNAcentral
UCCCUGGAGGAAUAGUGGUUAGGCCACAGCACUCUCACCGCUGCAACCCUGGUACGAUUCCUGGCCUGGGAA